GUGGAGCAUGUGGCUUAAUUUGACUCAACGCGGGAAAUCUUACCGGGUCCGGACACACUGAGGAUUGACAGGCGAUAUCAACUCUCUCUCUUUUAAUUUAAUUAUUAAAAGUAGAGGUGUUGUGUUAAAUAUGCUAGUCCUUUCAUGAUUAUGUGAUAGGUGGUGCAUGGCCGUUCUUAGUUCGUGGAGUGAUCUGUCUGCUUAAUUGCGUUUCACUAAGGGCCUAUAUCAUUACAAGCAUGUCUAUGCAAUUCUAGCGCAUUGACCCCUCAUCACAUUCAAAACUUCAAUUAUUUGAUUGGUUUAUUUGUGAUGUUUGCGCGUGUCUUUGACUAACGCUGUUUGCUUUUCAUGUGUUUUAGGUCCUGAAAGCAACGAACGUGACCGCAACCUCUUGUUGCCACAUUCAAACUCUUUCAUCAUCACAUCAUCGAAGCUAAUUCGUUUUGUGAGAAAAGUCAGGUGGCUUUUUUUUUUAAACUAGAGGGACCGCUGUUAUCUUCUUAAACCAGAGGAAGGUUGCGGCAAUAACAGGUCUGUGAUGCCCUUAGAUGUUCCGGGCUGCACACGUGCUACAAUGAUCAUUGCAGUGAGCAUCUCAAUUUUACUUUAUUACAUCGCUAGCGCGAGUCCGUUUAUUCUGUUCAUGCCAUAGUCUCAUACGGCUGUUGGCUGCAGCUUUAAACGUGUAUCUCUGCGCGCGAUACAGCCUGCUUUGAAAGUUUAGUGGGUAAUCAAUUAGAAGUAAUGAUUUCCAAGUUAUAGCACACUGAUAUACGGCAUCCUUACCCAGCUAGCCUUUUGUGCUAGUCUUUUGUGCGUAGAGAUGAAUCCAACAUUCUAGUAAUUUCUCAUUAUCAUCUCUUUGAUAUAAUGAAUUUGCUUUGAAUGGUUCGUAUGUGCAAUUGUCAAUUCAUGGUGGGGACAGACCAUUGUUAAUUGUUGGUCUCGGUCUUAACUAGGAAUGCCUUGUACGGGUCUUUGGUUCAACAAACCACCCGGAAUACGUCCCUGCCCUUUGUACACACCGCCCGUCGCUCUUACCGAUGGACUUCUCUGUGAGUUUGAGGGACUGGGUAUUCAUGAAUCAAUUAUUCAUUCGUGAAUAAUUACAUGACCUAUGGAAACUUAAACGAACAGUGUGGUUUAAAG
RNAcentral lists this ribosomal RNA (1152 nucleotides) under Rosalina orbicularis. Its description in RNAcentral is "bacterial SSU rRNA". It matches the Rfam family "Eukaryotic small subunit ribosomal RNA", at positions 1176 to 1778 of the family's 1831-position model. Lineage: Eukaryota; Foraminifera; Rotaliida; Rosalinidae. The record is from RNAcentral.